UGCCGAGCUGUGGAGUCUCUCCCUCAUUUGGGAAAUGACAGAGAGCCACUGUUAUUCUGAAGGAGCGACAGGGUCAGAGCUUGCUCCUGCUGAGGAAGUUAUUCACAGAAGACAGAUACUGCUUCAUACAGGACGGAUCAGAGGACAAAUCCUAAAUUACCCACCCACGGAGGGGGCCAGGGUCACACAGAGACCGAGAAAAGAUUGAAGGAGAAAGACAGGCAGAUCUCCCUAAAUCUGCCCAGGAGCACAGAAUCCAGAGACUCAGGGCUCCAGGUCAUUGCUGGUCCUGUCCUGUUGGGAGAAUUUCUGCUGUUUAG
Long non-coding RNA from Lagenorhynchus albirostris (white-beaked dolphin), 320 nucleotides. RefSeq lists it as uncharacterized. The record is from RefSeq and is a predicted model, not a curated record. The transcript has 3 exons. NCBI's taxonomy places the organism in Eukaryota, Metazoa, Chordata, Mammalia, Artiodactyla, Delphinidae.